CUUUUAUGGAGAGUUUGAUCUUGGCUCAGGACGAACGCUGGCGGCGUGCCUAAUACAUGCAAGUCGAGCGCGGGAAGCAAGCAGAUCUCCUUCGGGAGUGACGCUUGUGGAACGAGCGGCGGACGGGUGAGUAACACGUGGGCAACCUACCUGUAAGACUGGGAUAACUCCGGGAAACCGGGGCUAAUACCGGAUGAAACAAAGCGUCGCAUGACGCAAUGUUAAAAGGCGGCAUAUGCUGUCACUUACAGAUGGGCCCGCGGCGCAUUAGCUAG
RNAcentral lists this ribosomal RNA (275 nucleotides) under Virgibacillus chiguensis. RNAcentral's name for it is "16S rRNA. Bacterial SSU". It matches the Rfam family "Bacterial small subunit ribosomal RNA", at positions 1 to 248 of the family's 1533-position model. Lineage: Bacteria; Bacillati; Bacillota; Bacilli; Caryophanales; Bacillaceae. The record is from RNAcentral.